UACAGAGGGUGCAAACGUUGUUCGGAAUUACUGGGCGUAAAGCGCAUGUAGGCGGCUUUGUAAGUCGGAUGUGAAAUCCCUCGGCUCAACCGGGGAAGUGCAUUCGAAACUGCAAGGCUGGAGUCUCGGAGAGGAAGGUGGAAUGCUUGGUGUAGAGGUGAAAUUCGUAGAUAUCAAGCGGAACACCGGUGGCGAAGGCGGCCUUCUGGACGAUGACUGACGCUGAGAUGCGAAAGCGUGGGUAGCAAACAGG
This 253-nucleotide ribosomal RNA is filed under the name uncultured bacterium. RNAcentral describes it as "partial 16S ribosomal RNA". It matches the Rfam family "Bacterial small subunit ribosomal RNA", at positions 524 to 776 of the family's 1533-position model. The record is from RNAcentral.